GGCCCCAUCGUCUAGUGGUUCGGACACCAGGUUCUCAUCCUGGUAACCGGAGUUCAAUUCUCCGUGGGGUCA
This 72-nucleotide transfer RNA is filed under the name Candidatus Shapirobacteria bacterium. RNAcentral describes it as "tRNA-Glu". It matches the Rfam family "tRNA". From Rfam's summary of the family: Transfer RNA (tRNA) molecules are approximately 80 nucleotides in length. Their secondary structure includes four short double-helical elements and three loops (D, anti-codon, and T loops). Further hydrogen bonds mediate the characteristic L-shaped molecular structure. tRNAs have two regions of fundamental functional importance: the anti-codon, which is responsible for specific mRNA codon recognition, and the 3' end, to which the tRNAs corresponding amino acid is attached (by aminoacyl-tRNA synthetases). tRNAs cope with the degeneracy of the genetic code in two manners: having more than one tRNA (with a specific anti-codon) for a particular amino acid; and 'wobble' base-pairing, i.e. permitting non-standard base-pairing at the 3rd anti-codon position. The record is from RNAcentral. Lineage: Bacteria; Candidatus Shapironibacteriota.